ACUGAGUGCCCCCUUUCCUUUCUCUACAAUAUGCGCCCCUAAUUCAAAGUAAGUUAGAGACAGAGCAACUGUUUCUUUAAUUUAUUUGAUUGUUCGCACUGUAAUGGUAGCUAGGGUAAAGAUGGGGUAAUAAUAAAUGCGCCUCGGAAUAGAAUUUCAAGAUAGACUAUAGAAAUGCCGAUUAUUAUUAUUAUUAAGACCCCACAAUUCUUAAAUUGAAUAUUAUACUUUGGAAUUAUAUAGUAAUGCUCCGCCACCCCUGUCGGCUCAGUUGGGCUAAAAUGAUAUUUAUGACUUCUUUCCCUAUCCUGAAAGAAUUAUGAUUUUAAAAAGUCAUUAAUUUCUUUACAAAUUCUAUUUUAAUGUACUUAUUACGAAUUGCUCAAAGUGCUUUCGGGGACAGAUCUGUCGUAAACGGCGCUAUUUGACAAAAAGCAACGCUGCAGAGUCAUGUAUACGUAUUUAAUACCAAACUCUAAAAACGCUCGUACGCAAUAGCCUACCGCUGAGCUAGUGUACACAACCGAUCGCGUCCAUAUCAACAUACAUAUAUUCGGACGUAGCGGCCGUAAAAAUAAGGGUCAUAAAAUCCGAAAAUGGCGCACGUUAGCUGAAUUGCGGAUGGGCUAUAACUAGUAUAAGCAAACAAGUAGGCCAGAUGUCUGGAAACCAAGGAAAUUUACACAAACGAAACUUGUAAGUUCCAUUGUUUAUUUAUUAGUGAUGGGUUAUAUCCCAUGUAAUUGAUUAUAAGUGCUUUUAACAGCAUCGUACUGUAGUAUUAUAGUAAAGUUGCGUUAAUCAAUGUACUGGUGCCAGUGUUGCCUGUUUUACUACACAGUCAGGAUAGUGAUGCUCCUAUGUGUGUCUGGAUAUUGGAACUUCCAAUAAAUCAGGAACUAGGUUUGGACCGAGACAAAUCCGCACAGAGUCGGUUCUCUUGAGAAAUAACAACUCUAUCGGGCUUCAGAAUUGUUCCUGCGGAAGAAUGUUGGCACAAGUCGAUGAACCCACUGAUGGAGGAAGUCAGGGCCAUGAUGGGAGAUGGACCGGUCUAUCUGUCCUUUGAUAUCGAUGGUAUAGACCCAGGACUAUGCCCUGGGACAGGUACUCCUGAGAUUGGUGGUCUGACAUCCAUCCAAGCUAUGGAGAUAAUCAGAGGAUGUCAAGGUCUUAACCUUGUAGGUGGUGACCUUGUUGAGGUGGGUUCAUAGAUCUUAAAGGCAUCGAUCGUUUAACAAUGUUAAAUCUGAGAUGCAUGGUAUCAGUGUUUGUGAUAUGGUAUAAUAUUGAAGCCCUAAAAAAAUUGCGCUUCAAAAUUACCAUGAAGUGCCUCAAAAGAGUAAAAAUCUUUGAGUGACCAGUUAUACCAUACUCAUUUUUUUCCAAUAGACUGUAUUGUUAUAAAA
Long non-coding RNA from Strongylocentrotus purpuratus (purple sea urchin), 1409 nucleotides. RefSeq lists it as uncharacterized. NCBI's taxonomy places the organism in Eukaryota, Metazoa, Echinodermata, Echinoidea, Camarodonta, Strongylocentrotidae. The transcript has 3 exons. The record is from RefSeq and is a predicted model, not a curated record.